This 506-nucleotide ribosomal RNA is filed under the name uncultured bacterium. RNAcentral describes it as "partial 16S ribosomal RNA". It matches the Rfam family "Bacterial small subunit ribosomal RNA", at positions 29 to 523 of the family's 1533-position model. The record is from RNAcentral.
AGUGAACGCUGGCGGUAGGCCUAACACAUGCAAGUCGAACGGCAGCACAGAGGAGCUUGCUCCUUGGGUGGCGAGUGGCGGACGGGUGAGGAAUACAUCGGAAUCUACUCUGUCGUGGGGGAUAACGUAGGGAAACUUACGCUAAUACCGCAUACGACCUACGGGUGAAAGCAGGGGAUCUUCGGACCUUGCGCGAUUGAAUGAGCCGAUGUCGGAUUAGCUAGUUGGCGGGGAAAAGGCCCACCAAGGCGACGAUCCGUAGCUGGUCUGAGAGGAUGAUCAGCCACACUGGAACUGAGACACGGUCCAGACUCCUACGGGAGGCAGCAGUGGGGAAUAUUGGACAAUGGGCGCAAGCCUGAUCCAGCCAUACCGCGUGGGUGAAGAAGGCCUUCGGGUUGUAAAGCCCUUUUGUUGGGAAAGAAAUCCAUCUGGUUAAUACCCGGGUGGGAUGACGGUACCCAAAGAAUAAGCAUCGGCUAACUUCGUGCCAGCAGCCGCCGUAA